GCUGGGUGUGGUAGCACUUGCCUGUAAUCCCAGCAGCUCUGGAGGCAGAGACAGGAGGUCUGUGAGUUCAAAGCCAGCCUCAGCAAAAGCGAGACACUAAGCUACUCAGUGAGACCCUGUCUCUU
RNAcentral lists this small RNA (125 nucleotides) under Marmota monax (woodchuck). The record is from RNAcentral. Lineage: Eukaryota; Metazoa; Chordata; Mammalia; Rodentia; Sciuridae.